This 253-nucleotide ribosomal RNA is filed under the name uncultured bacterium. Its description in RNAcentral is "partial 16S ribosomal RNA". It matches the Rfam family "Bacterial small subunit ribosomal RNA", at positions 524 to 776 of the family's 1533-position model. The record is from RNAcentral.
UACAUGUGGGGCAAGCGUUGUUCGGAAUUACUGGGCAUAAAGCGUGCGCAGGCGGUUUGUUAAGUCUGCUGUGAAAUCCCCGAGCUCAACUUGGGAAUUGCAGUGGAUACUGGCAGGCUGGAGUAUGGUAGAGGAAGGUGGAAUUCCCGGUGUAGCAGUGAAAUGCGUAGAGAUCGGGAGGAACACCAGUGGCGAAGGCGGCCUUCUGGACCAAUACUGACGCUCAUGCACGAAAGCGUGGGGAGCAAACAGG